GACGAACGCUGGCGGCGUGCUUAACACAUGCAAGUCGAACGGAAAGGCCCUGCUUUUGUGGGGUGCUCGAGUGGCGAACGGGUGAGUAACACGUGAGUAACCUGCCCUUGACUUUGGGAUAACUUCAGGAAACUGGGGCUAAUACCGGAUAGGAGCUCCUGCUGCAUGGUGGGGGUUGGAAAGUUUCGGCGGUUGGGGAUGGACUCGCGGCUUAUCAGCUUGUUGGUGGGGUAGUGGCUUACCAAGGCUUUGACGGGUAGCCGGCCUGAGAGGGUGACCGGCCACAUUGGGACUGAGAUACGGCCCAGACUCCUACGGGAGGCAGCAGUGGGGAAUAUUGCACAAUGGGCGGAAGCCUGAUGCAGCAACGCCGCGUGCGGGAUGACGGCCUUCGGGUUGUAAACCGCUUCCGCCUGGGACGAAGCGUGAGUGACGGUAAUGGGUGAAGAAGCACCGGCUAACUACGUG
Molecule: ribosomal RNA, 468 nt
Filed under: uncultured bacterium
Lineage: Bacteria
Description: partial 16S ribosomal RNA
Rfam family: Bacterial small subunit ribosomal RNA
Source: RNAcentral